CCCAGCGUGCACCGUGGUUGACCGUUGGUGACACUCGCCGUUCUGAGGGUUGGAAGUUGGAGAUGUCCUCUGUUAGCACUCCAUUGCAGAAAACAUUUCAAUUGCGCAGCAAAUCGCUAACGAUCGGGAAAAUACACCUGAGAGUAUGGUGGAAAUAAAUUCACCAGAGCCGGUUUUGGUCGUUGAAGGGGAGUUAGAUAAGCAGCCAUACGGGACGGGGGAAAUACGUUGGCAGAGUUCCAUGGAAAGGAGGGAGGCUGAAAAAAAGCUGGAUUGUUACCGCUGAGAACCGGCACCGUCAGGUCGCAACCAGGACACAUUGGAACAUAUGCUGAUUGAUGUGUUCGGAAACAUGAAAAUAAGAAAAAGUCCAUCCUGAAUGAGAUUGAGAUGGGGUUGGAUGAAUGAAGAAUCCACACAUAUUCAAAGCCACAGAACUGAGGAAACACAGGGUCAAAUGAAAACAAUACGAAUAUGAUGGAUUGAGAAAGAAAUCGACAAAGUUCAUUAGAGACAAUGAAACUCCAACAAGGGACUUAACAGGGAAGGAAAGGACAAUGCAACAAAUUCAGAACCCCACCUAUCAUUUGACUAGUACAUCUAAAUUAAUUCUCCUUCCAUUAAUCUUACAUUAUCAGAUGUAAAGCCAGAACUAAUGUUGAUCAUUUGAUAUGUUUUACUAAUAACUAUAAGAUUAUUUGUGGGUCAUCUUUAAGGUUAUUAUUUAUAUGCUGUACAGGUAUAUUUAACAAACGUUCUGAAGUCAUUGCUUUUAGUAAUCUUUGUUGAAUUACUUUGUACAUUUGUUCUUCAUCAGUUGGGAAAUUUUAUUUUUCCUCCGUACUUUUGAGUCCCUGCGGAAACUGCUGAAGACAGUCUGGUAACCAUCCAAUAUUCCUGUACAGGUGUUCCCAGCAGAAGCAACUGGUCAACAAUCUUUACAUGGAAGACUGAUUUUCUUUCUUCCUCAGUGUUGAGCAGUCGAGAACAGAGGCAGUGUCCCACCAUGCUUGGCUUCUGAAUCCUAUAAACCAGAACUCUUGAAUACUUAGCUGAAAGUAAGGAUAUUCAGAUAUGUGCCACCUUUAUGACUGCUGCCUGAGGAUGUGAGACAGCUGACGAGUGCGGCUAAAGUGCAUAGACUUUGUUUGUGGUAACCUUUUUGUAGACAUUCUAUGAAAAAAUAGGCAGCUUCAUUGGUGCCUACUGCAGACCCAUGCAAGGUCUUAUUGGCAGCACACUCAGGUUAUCAGUUCAAGUCUCACUCCACAGUUUGAGCAUAAAACUUAAAGCUGGUACUCUCGUGCAGUACUGAGGAAGCCUGGCACUGCUAGAUGUGCCCCCUCUCAGAGAUGCAAAACAAAGGCCCCACCCACUCUGCUUAUGUAGAUACAAAAGAACUCAGUGCGAAAUACCCAGUAAGUCUUUCUACUUGUCCUGUUCUUGCAGGAGUACAGUACUGACACUUACAUCACUUGCAUCGAUAGCCAUUUUAAAUGGCUUUGCAUAAUUAUGUGUGGUUAACACAGAGCAGCAGUUAGCACAGCUUUCAAGUUGUCAAAUUCCUUCUGACAUUCCUCUGUCCACUGAAAUUUUCUGCACUCCUUCAACAAAUCAGUGAGUAACUACACUGCUAAAAUUCAGUAUGACCUUCCAAUAAAAAACACUUGGUCCCAACAAUCGUAGUUCUGCCUUCUUAGUCAGUGGUAAUGGAAAUUCACCAAUAACCCUUUGUUUUCACAUCCCAUCAGACCAGAAUGUGGCCUGGGCUUUUGAAAACUCACUCUUAGCCAGGUUUACCACCAAGCCCACCUCCAAUGUUGAUCAAACAGUCGUGAUCGAUGUUCUUUCCAUGUGUGACUAAAUCACCAGGUUGCCAAUGUACACCACACAAUUGGGUAAUCCUGAAAUGACUUUAUUGGAUAUUCUUUGAAAUGUGGCUGUUGUGUUUUUAUACCAGAUGGCAUGACUUUAAGCUGGUAAAGCCCAUUUAACGUCACAAACACCAAAACUUCUUUUGCUCUUUCAGAUAAAAGUACCUGCCUGUAUCCUCUGAGUAAGUCCAACUUUGAUAUAUAAGUGGCAUGUCAAUACCUUCCCAAUACAGUCUUCCAGACAUGGAAUAGGAUAUGAAUUAGAGAUAUUUUAAUUGCAUUGUCUUAGCGAUAGUCUUUGUGUAAUCGUUUGGUACCAUCUGGUUUUGGCAUCAUUACUUAGGGUGAACUCCAUUCACUGCAACACACUUCAAUAAUAUUGUCUUUGAGCAUGUGUUCAAUCUCUUUUUGAAGCUGUGCUAACUUUAGUGGGUUAGGUCUAAAAGAGUGUUGCUUAAUUUGAACAGCAUUUUCUAUAUCUGCAUCAUGCAUACUCCAAUUAGUACUUCCCAGCUUAUUCCCACAUAUCUCCCCAUGUGGUUGUAAUAACUGUUUUAGAUCAUUUCGAUUUUCUUCUGGAAGGUAACCCAAUAAGUUCUCAAUUUUUAAAAGCUUUUUCAUUGUCUGAUUUAAUUUAAGGAAUGUGCAAUUCAGAAUCAUCUGAACUUGAUUCUUCACCUUGUUGUAACUAGUAAUACAUUCACCUUUUGCUUUCCUUCCCAAUCAAAAUAUCCUUUGAACAUAGUUACAUGACAUAAUUCCCUGGCAUUCUUAUCAAAUAAUUCACCUCACUCAAUUUACUUUCAAUUUGAUAAGACCCACUAAAUCUUGCCUUUAAAGGUUUACCUAUCACUAACACUAUCUCCAAUAGACAAUAGGUGCUGGAGUAGGCCAUUCAGCCCUUCGAGUCAGCACCACCAUUCAUUAUGGAUCAUGGCUGAUCAUCCACAAUCAGUAUCCUGUUCCUGCCUUAUCCCCAUAACUCUUGAUUCCACUAUUUUUAAGAGCUCUAUCCAUCUCUUUCUUGAAAGUAUCCAGAGAGUUGGCCUCCACUGCCUUUUGGACAGAGCAUUCCAUAUAUCCACCACUCUCUGGGUGAAGAAGUUUUUCCUCAACUCUGUUCUAAAUGGCCUACACCUUAUUUUUAAACUGUGUCCUCUGGUUCUGUACUCACCCAUCAGCGGAAACAUGCUUCCUGCCUCCAGAGUGUCCAAUCCCUUAAUAACCUUAUACGUCUCAAUCAGAUCCCCUCUCAUCCUCCUAAACUCAAGUGUAUACAAGCCCAGUCGCUCCAAUCUUUCAACAUAUGAUAGUCCCACCAUUCUGGGAAUUGACCUCAUGAACCUACGCUGCACUCCCUUAAUAGCAAGAAUGUCCUUCCUCAAAUUUGGAGACCAAAACUGCAGACAAUACUCCAGGUGCAGUCUCGCCAGGGCCCUGUACAGUUGCAGAAGGACCUCUGCUCCUAUACUCAAUUCCUCUUGCUAUGAAGGCCAGCUUUCUUCCACUUUGAUUUCUUGUCUGCUUCCAGUUUCAUCACAUAAUGUGCUUCUUUCAAAUGCUGUCUAGCCAACUCAUCUGCUCUGUUUAAUCUUUCCCUAAAAUUUGACACAUUUUCCAAAUAUGUGUCUCUAAACUCUGACUCUCAAUUUUUCCUUAAUUAAUUAUAGCAGUCCUCUCAACUCAUGCCAAAAAAACAAUUCAAAUGGACUGAAUUUAGUUCAUUCAUUAGCUACAUUCCUAAAUGCAAUAAGUACAAUGGAAUUCCUUCGUCCUAAUCCUCUGGAUAGCCUUGACUAUAAGUCCUCAACACCAUCUUUGAAGUCUGAUGCCGCAAUACUAAUGGUCCCAGCAAUUCUGGAUGGUACACAGUGGAUUUGAAUUGUUUUAAUCCUAAAUUAUCCAUAAUUUCUUUGAAUAAUUUUUGAUGUAAAAUUUGACUCUGAAUCCCAUUGUAUUUUUGUGGGUAGUCCAUAUAUACUAAAAAAAAUUGAGUUCUCUUUUACAAUCUUUUUAGCUGUGAUACUACGUAAUGGAAUAGUCUCUGGCAAUCUGGUAGAUACAUCCAUUAUGGUCAACAAAUAGUGAUUUAUUUGUUGUAAAUAGGGGUCUUUCAAAAUCAAUUAAGACUCCUGUAAAAGGUUCCUCAAAAGCUGGAAUGGGAAUUGGGGGUUUUGGCUUUAUCAAUGCCUGAAGUUAUCCAAUUACCUGACAUGUCUGGAAGAAAUCAACCAUAUCCUAAUGCAAUCCAGGCUAAUAAAAAUGUAUUUUUUUACAUUUUGCCUUGCAUUUCACUUAAUCCCACAUGAUCUCCUCCUGGUGCUACCUGCACUACCUUUUGUGCAGUAACCCACCGUUAAGACAAAUUGAUGAUCCUCUGCCUGUUUCUUACCUGCCUGAAUGUGAUGGUCUCCAUUUCCUCAUCAAGACUUCAUUUUUAAGAUAGUAACAUUUUGGGAUACACUGCUUUAGUUUUUCAUCUUUCUGUUGUAAUUCAGCUAAUUUCUCUGAACUGAAAAUAUUUAUUUUGUCCUUUACCUGUAUUUUUUUGCUCAAACAUUUAACCAUAUAUAGUUUCUGAUAAUUCAACUUCCUUCUAUAUUUAUUUCUUGAUUUCUCCAGCUUCAACCUGUGACUUUGUGACCUUCUUCCCACACAGCAGGAAAGAUCCCAGGAUCUAUUUCCUCUAAUGCCUCAAUUGCCUGAUUUUUCGACUGGCUUUUCAACUGUAGGAGGUGUUACUCCCUUCUGUGAUUCAACAAAAUCACUACCAAGAAUAAAAUGUAUUUCCAGAUCUAAGAAUUUCUGUAUUACCACCAAUUCACAACUUUUCAUCAGAUUGUCAGAUCUCACUUUAUAUAAUGGAACACUGCUCUUCUCACCAUGAAUUCCACAUAUUCCAAUUCUAUACUUUUUCUCCUUAAUUAUAUACCUCAUCAUCUCUCGCCACAGAUUGACUUGUUCCUGUCUCUCUUAAAAUCCAAAUUUCUUUAUCUUCUGCUGACAUAUGAGUUAAAUUUUACCCUCACAAGUACAUUCUUUUAAGAUAUCUGGACGUGGAUGUUUGCAGCUCUUUAACAUGCUUUGUCCUUUCUACUGUGUGCUUUCCUUUACUGGCUUAUCCUGUUUUCCCACAUCUGUUCCCAGUACUUUCUGUAGACACUACAACUUCAUGUGGUCUUUUUUAAUUACAGUGAAAACACCUGAGCUCUUUUACUUCUCUUUCCCCCCAUGUGUUUCCUUUUUACCUUGUGGCAAACUAUCUUCAAUGUUCUAUCGCUCAUAGAUUGAAAAUGCUAAUGUUUCGUUUGAUUUGGCUGAGAUUUUGUUCACCUGUAUUGCUACCUUUAAUGAUAUGUGUAUUUGUACUAUCAUGUUUCUUUUGGUUCCUUGAGACCAUUUAGUGUCUUAUUUUCUAUGUAACUUGUAACCUCCUUAUUACCAAAAUACAUCAACUAGUUACCUA
Molecule: long non-coding RNA, 5340 nt
Organism: Stegostoma tigrinum
Lineage: Eukaryota; Metazoa; Chordata; Chondrichthyes; Orectolobiformes; Stegostomatidae
Exons: 3
Source: RefSeq, a predicted model, not a curated record